RNAcentral lists this long non-coding RNA (300 nucleotides) under Monodelphis domestica (gray short-tailed opossum). Its description in RNAcentral is "lncRNA (ENSMODG00000030703.2)". Lineage: Eukaryota; Metazoa; Chordata; Mammalia; Didelphimorphia; Didelphidae. The record is from RNAcentral.
UGAUCAUUGGAUUGAAGGAGAAACCAUGAACUUGACAAACACCAGGAAGCAGCAACACCAUUUGCAAUGAAGAAUUGAAAAGGGGAUCGUACAUGAAAUCAUGAAUCUCCACAACACGUAGCUUGCUUUCCUGUUUUCAGAAAUUUGGCCGGAGGAAUUCUAUGUGAACUGGAACAACCUCCAGGAAGUGAUGCAGAGUGAGAGGAGCAGAACCAGGAGAACACUGUACACAGAGACUGAUACACUGUGGCACAAUUGAAUGUAAUGGACUUCUCUACUAGCGGCAAUGAUAGUAGAGAC